UUGAUGGCUGGGUUUCUUUCUUUCUUUCUUUUUUUUUUUUCCCUGUAUCUGUUUCAUAAAUGUGACAGGUGCAAUUUUUUCCAAGGCAAGAGGAAGAGAUGGCUUUGACCUCUGGUGCCUGUUGAAGCAUCUGCAGGAGGCUCUUCUCUGGGGACAGCACCACAUGGACUUGGCUAGAAGCUACCUCCUGUGGAAUUGACAUUCGGACCCAACAAAGGGGAAAGAGGCUGUCGCCAGACAAUUUGAUAGGCUUCUUCAGGACAAAUAGGCCCUGCCCCAGGGGCCUGAGGACAGGAAUAGCAAGUCUGGACAGACGCACUUGGCUGCAUGAAGAGGAAAAGCUGUGCAGGAUGAAUGUCACAGUAUUGCUGGCUCUUGCUUGCUGUAUUAAUUUCUCCCUUAAAAGAAAACUGACCCAUUUUUUCCAUCCCACAGCCCUAAUGGACUCGUAUUCAGAAGCCACCCUUCCCCCACAUAAAGAGCUGUAUUGUACUUAAUGAUAAGCCUUUUAGUGGAAUUUGCUAUUUCUGGAUCUUUCUCUGGGAAGUUCCCAUUAAUGAGUCUGCAAGUGCAGGGAAAA
Long non-coding RNA from Bubalus bubalis (water buffalo), 580 nucleotides. RefSeq lists it as uncharacterized. The transcript is spliced from 3 exons. The record is from RefSeq and is a predicted model, not a curated record. NCBI's taxonomy places the organism in Eukaryota, Metazoa, Chordata, Mammalia, Artiodactyla, Bovidae.